This 370-nucleotide ribosomal RNA is filed under the name uncultured Actinomycetes bacterium. RNAcentral describes it as "bacterial SSU rRNA". It matches the Rfam family "Bacterial small subunit ribosomal RNA", at positions 65 to 437 of the family's 1533-position model. Lineage: Bacteria; Bacillati; Actinomycetota; Actinomycetes. The record is from RNAcentral.
AGCGAUGAAGCACCUUCGGGUGUGAAUUAGCGGCGAACGGGUGAGGAACACGUGAGAAAUCUGCCUUCAACACUGGGAUAACUCCGGGAAACCGGGGCUAAUACCGGAUAUGAAAUCUGCGGGCAUCCGCGUGAUUUGGAAAGUUUUUCGGUUGAAGAUGAUCUCGCGGCCUAUCAGCUUGUUGGUGAGGUAAUGGCUCACCAAGGCGACGACGGGUAGCCGGCCUGAGAGGGCGACCGGCCACACUGGGACUGAGACACGGCCCAGACUCCUACGGGAGGCAGCAGUGGGGAAUAUUGGGCAACGGAGGAAACUCUGACCCAGCGACGUCGCGUGCGGGAUGAAGGCCUUCGGGUUGCAAACCGCUUUC